UUUUGUCCUUACGGCAUUUUUGUAAACUUUUUUUUCUGCGAGCGUUUUGCUUUGUAGUUCCUCACGGAAGCAAACAGCAACAAAUGAAAAAAUAUGUGAACAAGAAACAGGGAUGG
RNAcentral lists this non-coding RNA (116 nucleotides) under Lotharella globosa. Lineage: Eukaryota; Cercozoa; Chlorarachniophyceae. The record is from RNAcentral.